UACGGAGGGUGCAAGCGUUAUCCGGAUUUACUGGGUUUAAAGGGUGCGUAGGUGGGCCUGUAAGUCAGUGGUGAAAUCUUCAAGCUUAACUUGGAAACUGCCAUUGAUACUAUAGGUCUUGAAUUAUCUGGAGGUAAGCGGAAUAUGUCAUGUAGCGGUGAAAUGCUUAGAGAUGACAUAGAACACCCAUUGCGAAGGCAGCUUACUACGGAUUGAUUGACACUGAGGCACGAAAAGCGUGGGGAGUCAAACAGG
Molecule: ribosomal RNA, 255 nt
Filed under: uncultured bacterium
Lineage: Bacteria
Description: partial 16S ribosomal RNA
Rfam family: Bacterial small subunit ribosomal RNA
Source: RNAcentral